Molecule: ribosomal RNA, 440 nt
Filed under: uncultured bacterium
Lineage: Bacteria
Description: bacterial SSU rRNA
Rfam family: Bacterial small subunit ribosomal RNA
Source: RNAcentral
GAUGAACGCUGGCGGCGUGCUUAACACAUGCAAGUCGAACGAAGCACUUUAUUUGAUUUCCUUCGGGACUGAUUAUUUUGUGACUGAGUGGCGGACGGGUGAGUAACGCGUGGGUAACCUGCCUUGUACAGGGGGAUAACAGUUGGAAACGGCUGCUAAUACCGCAUAAGCGCACAGCAUCGCAUGAUGCAGUGUGAAAAACUCCGGUGGUAUAAGAUGGACCCGCGUUGGAUUAGCUAGUUGGUGAGGUAACGGCCCACCAAGGCGACGAUCCAUAGCCGACCUGAGAGGGUGACCGGCCACAUUGGGACUGAGACACGGCCCAAACUCCUACGGGAGGCAGCAGUGGGGAAUAUUGCACAAUGGGCGAAAGCCUGAUGCAGCGACGCCGCGUGAGCGAAGAAGUAUUUCGGUAUGUAAAGCUCUAUCAGCAGGGAAGA